CUGAAUACCAGAAGAAGCAAUUUCACACUUGGCUUUGAAUAAAGAACCAAUGACUAGGAGAUCUCAAGGUCACUGUGGCUCAACAGCAAGGCAACUUGAGGAUACUUUUAUUAUUUCUGCUUUAUUUACCUGUCUGGGUGGAACUGAAGAAGAACAAUACUGAAGUGAACUUAAUUUUUGUUGUAUUAAAUUCUCCUAUCCUGUUAGCCAUGAUGCCUCACAACCUGGGAGGAACCACUAGGUCAAGCAAUUGUCCCCUAGUCCAGUUGUUGGAUCAACUGUCAUAAAGAAGAAAAGGAACUACAAAAGAGCAUACACUGGGCAAGUUUAAAAAUGCUUUAUUUUAUUUUAUUUUAUUUUAUUUUAUUUUAUUUUAUUUUAUUUUAUUUUAUUUUAUUUUAUUUUAUUUUA
RNAcentral lists this long non-coding RNA (411 nucleotides) under Anas platyrhynchos platyrhynchos (common mallard). RNAcentral's name for it is "lncRNA (ENSAPLG00000018909.1)". The record is from RNAcentral. Lineage: Eukaryota; Metazoa; Chordata; Aves; Anseriformes; Anatidae.